This 696-nucleotide ribosomal RNA is filed under the name uncultured bacterium. RNAcentral describes it as "bacterial SSU rRNA". It matches the Rfam family "Bacterial small subunit ribosomal RNA", at positions 94 to 820 of the family's 1533-position model. The record is from RNAcentral.
AGUGGCGGACGGGUGAGUAACACGUAAGAAUUUGCCUUUAGGAGGGGGACAACAACUGGAAACGGUUGCUAAUACCCCAUAUGCUUUCGAGUGAAAUGGUUUUUCCGCCUAAAGAGAAGCUUGCGGCUGAUUAGCUUGUUGGUAAGGUAAUGGCUUACCAAGGCGACGAUCAGUAUCUGGUUUGAGAGGACGAUCAGACACACUGGAACUGAGACACGGUCCAGACUCCUACGGGAGGCAGCAGUGGGGAAUUUUCCGCAAUGGGCGAAAGCCUGACGGAGCAAUACCGCGUGAGGGAUGAAUGCCUAUGGGUUGUAAACCUCUUUUUUCAGGGAGGAACAAAAUGACGUGUACCUGAAGAAUAAGCAUCGGCUAACUCCGUGCCAGCAGCCGCGGUAAGACGGAGGAUGCAAGUGUUAUCCGGAAUCACUGGGCGUAAAGCGUCUGUAGGUGGUUUAAUAAGUCAACUGUUAAAUCUCGAGGCUCAACCUCGAAAUCGCAGUCGAAACUAUUAGACUAGAGUAUAGUAGGGGUAAAGGGAAUUUCCAGUGGAGCGGUGAAAUGCGUAGAGAUUGGAAAGAACACCGAUGGCGAAGGCACUUUACUGGGCUAUUACUAACACUGAGAGACGAAAGCUAGGGUAGCAAAUGGGAUUAGAUACCCCAGUAGUCCUAGCUGUAAACAAUGGAUACUAGA